This 1102-nucleotide ribosomal RNA is filed under the name uncultured bacterium. Its description in RNAcentral is "bacterial SSU rRNA". It matches the Rfam family "Bacterial small subunit ribosomal RNA", at positions 8 to 1104 of the family's 1533-position model. The record is from RNAcentral.
AGAGUUUGAUCCUGGCUCAGAUUGAACGCUGGCGGCAUGCCUUACACAUGCAAGUCGAACGGCAGCACGGAGCUUGCUCUGGUGGCGAGUGGCGAACGGGUGAGUAAUAUAUCGGAACGUACCCUAGAGUGGGGGAUAACGUAGCGAAAGUUACGCUAAUACCGCAUACGAUCUAAGGAUGAAAGUGGGGGAUCGCAAGACCUCAUGCUCGUGGAGCGGCCGAUAUCUGAUUAGCUAGUUGGUAGGGUAAAAGCCUACCAAGGCAUCGAUCAGUAGCUGGUCUGAGAGGACGACCAGCCACACUGGAACUGAGACACGGUCCAGACUCCUACGGGAGGCAGCAGUGGGGAAUUUUGGACAAUGGGCGAAAGCCUGAUCCAGCAAUGCCGCGUGAGUGAAGAAGGCCUUCGGGUUGUAAAGCUCUUUUGUCAGGGAAGAAACGGUAAAAGCUAAUAUCUUUUGCUAAUGACGGUACCUGAAGAAUAAGCACCGGCUAACUACGUGCCAGCAGCCGCGGUAAUACGUAGGGUGCAAGCGUUAAUCGGAAUUACUGGGCGUAAAGCGUGCGCAGGCGGUUUUGUAAGUCUGAUGUGAAAUCCCCGGGCUCAACCUGGGAAUUGCAUUGGAGACUGCAAGGCUAGAAUCUGGCAGAGGGGGGUAGAAUUCCACGUGUAGCAGUGAAAUGCGUAGAUAUGUGGAGGAACACCGAUGGCGAAGGCAGCCCCCUGGGUCAAGAUUGACGCUCAUGCACGAAAGCGUGGGGAGCAAACAGGAUUAGAUACCCUGGUAGUCCACGCCCUAAACGAUGUCUACUAGUUGUCGGGUCUUAAUUGACUUGGUAACGCAGCUAACGCGUGAAGUAGACCACCUGGGGAGUACGGUCGCAAGAUUAAAACUCAAAGGAAUUGACGGGGACCCGCACAAGCGGUGGAUGAUGUGGAUUAAUUCGAUGCAACGCGAAAAACCUUACCUACCCUUGACAUGGCUGGAAUCCUUGAGAGAUCAGGGAGUGCUCGAAAGAGAACCAGUACACAGGUGCUGCAUGGCUGUCGUCAGCUCGUGUCGUGAGAUGUUGGGUUAAGUCCCGCAACGAGCGCAACCC